RNAcentral lists this ribosomal RNA (396 nucleotides) under uncultured bacterium. Its description in RNAcentral is "partial 16S ribosomal RNA". It matches the Rfam family "Bacterial small subunit ribosomal RNA", at positions 523 to 918 of the family's 1533-position model. The record is from RNAcentral.
AUACGUAGGUGGCAAGCGUUGUCCGGAUUUACUGGGUGUAAAGGGCGUGUAGCCGGGAAGGCAAGUCAGAUGUGAAAUCUGGAGGCUCAACCUCCAAACUGCAUUUGAAACUGCUUUUCUUGAGUAUCGGAGAGGUAAUCGGAAUUCCUUGUGUAGCGGUGAAAUGCGUGGAUAUAAGGAAGAACACCAGUGGCGAAGUCGGAUGACUGGACGACAACUGACGGUGAGGCGCGAAAGCGUGGGGAGCAAACAGGAUUAGAUCCCCUGGUAGUCCACGCUGUAAACGAUCAAUACUAGGUGUGCGGGGACUGACCCCCUGCGUGCCGCAGUUAACACAAUAAGUAUUGCACCUGGGGAGUACGAUCGCAAGGUUGAAACUCAAAUGAAUUGACGGGG